RNAcentral lists this unclassified non-coding RNA (265 nucleotides) under Ascobolus crenulatus. Its description in RNAcentral is "partial internal transcribed spacer region". The stretch from base 1 to 46 matches the Rfam family "Eukaryotic small subunit ribosomal RNA", at positions 1786 to 1831 of the family's 1831-position model. The record is from RNAcentral. Lineage: Eukaryota; Fungi; Ascomycota; Pezizomycetes; Pezizales; Ascobolaceae.
AAGUCGUAACAAGGUUUCCGUAGGUGAACCUGCGGAAGGAUCAUUAAUAAAUGUACGCCUAGAGAGAGUCUUAAACUACUUGAUCUAGUGCUGUAUAUAACCACCUGUUUACCUUUACCUGUUGCUUCCGUGGAAUUACGGGUGCUCUUUCUGUUCGCAGACUUGAGUUACCUUCCACGGGUGUAUUUAAAAAAUUGUCUUGCUGAAUUGUCUGAUAUAAAAUUUUAAUAAGUUAAAACUUUCAACAACGGAUCUCUAGGUUCUC